GUUGCUUACUAACAUAGUAUCAACUUUGUUAGUCUUCUUGUGAUCUUUAAAUGUUCGUCGCAUAAACAAUUUGAAUACCAGUUUCUUUUGUUGUAUUACAUUGGCCCAAUCCCAAUUUAGAUCUAUAGAUUUUCUUCCAUAAAAAAUCAUAUGUAUUGAUUUUAUCGAUAGAAAAAAUAAUUGAGACCGCUAAUCUUCAACGAUCGUACGAAUAUCGCCAUACAACAAAAGAAAUGCAUCUUUGGCUCCAGUCGUCGUCUUCUCCAUGAAAACUUCCAUGGUUUGAUUGAUGAUACUAGAGUUUUCAUAUUCAGAUACCAAAUAUACUGUAUCAGAAUAUGAUUUUUAAAUAUUUUUCCUUCGUUAUUGAAUGUGAUCUUCUACUUCUAACCUCUAAGCCAUCCACGUUGUAUUCCAAUUACCAGAAGUGACCACAUACCAUCAUCUCGUCAUGUAACUUCCACGGACCGAGUUUUCCAGGAUCCCAAAUUCGUCGACAAAAACGCCAUUUACAAAGAAAAACCGCUGCGAAUUGGAUAAAGAAUUGACAAUAUCUUACCAAAUUAACAUCGCAGUGGGUUUUCUCCACCACGAAGAUGGAAGAUGCCUGACUGGAACCGUCAUAAAAGCGCGUCACAUUGACAUCAAAAUCGGAAGUUAUCGUCUUCAUGAAAAGAGGAUAAAGAAAAUCAAUUGUCAUCUUCAUGACUUUCUCUCCUAAUCACAAAACGAAAAAAACAAAAGACAAAAAAUAGAAAAAAAGAGAGUCAUCAUGAGAAAAAGGACAAUAUAUUUCUCUCUCUCACUCAAGAUCUAUUACGAUCUCACUCAGAUAGAGAAAAAGGUUGAUGAGAAAAAACUGAAAAUAAUCGCCAUGGAAAUCGCCUCCAGAGUGAGACAUGGAACGUUUUUUAUCUCCUCUCAC
RNAcentral lists this long non-coding RNA (925 nucleotides) under Eutrema salsugineum. Its description in RNAcentral is "long non-coding RNA (ESAL_LNC001335)". Lineage: Eukaryota; Viridiplantae; Streptophyta; Magnoliopsida; Brassicales; Brassicaceae. The record is from RNAcentral.